ACGAAGGGGGCUAGCGUUGCUCGGAUUUACUGGGCGUAAAGGGCGCGUAGGCGGAUGACCAAGUUGGGGGUGAAAUCCCGGGGCUUAACCUCGGAACUGCCUCCAAAACUGGUCGUCUUGAGUUUGGGAGAGGUGUGUGGAACUCCGAGUGUAGAGGUGAAAUUCGUAGAUAUUCGGAAGAACACCAGUGGCGAAGGCGACACACUGGCCCAAUACUGACGCUGAGGCGCGAAAGCGUGGGGAGCAAACAGGA
Molecule: ribosomal RNA, 253 nt
Filed under: uncultured prokaryote
Description: partial 16S ribosomal RNA
Rfam family: Bacterial small subunit ribosomal RNA
Source: RNAcentral